This 468-nucleotide ribosomal RNA is filed under the name uncultured bacterium. RNAcentral describes it as "partial 16S ribosomal RNA". It matches the Rfam family "Bacterial small subunit ribosomal RNA", at positions 28 to 507 of the family's 1533-position model. The record is from RNAcentral.
GACGAACGCUGGCGGCGUGCUUAACACAUGCAAGUCGAACGGAAAGGCCCUGCUUUUGUGGGGUGCUCGAGUGGCGAACGGGUGAGUAACACGUGAGUAACCUGCCCUUGACUUUGGGAUAACUUCAGGAAACUGGGGCUAAUACCGGAUAGGAGCUCCUGCUGCAUGGUGGGGGUUGGAAAGUUUCGGCGGUUGGGGAUGGACUCGCGGCUUAUCAGCUUGUUGGUGGGGUAGUUGCUUACCAAGGCUUUGACGGGUAGCCGGCCUGAGAGGGUGACCGGCCACAUUGGGACUGAGAUACGGCCCAGACUCCUACGGGAGGCAGCAGUGGAGAAUAUUGCACAAUGGGCGGAAGCCUGAUGCAGCAACGCCGCGUGCGGGAUGACGGCCUUCGGGUUGUAAACCGCUUUCGCCUGUGACGAAGCGUGAGUGACGGUAAUGGGUAAAGAAGCACCGGCUAACUACGUG